RNAcentral lists this ribosomal RNA (468 nucleotides) under uncultured bacterium. Its description in RNAcentral is "partial 16S ribosomal RNA". It matches the Rfam family "Bacterial small subunit ribosomal RNA", at positions 28 to 507 of the family's 1533-position model. The record is from RNAcentral.
GACGAACGCUGGCGGCGUGCUUAACACAUGCAAGUCGAACGGAAAGGCCCUGCUUUUGUGGGGUGCUCGAGUGGCGAACGGGUGAGUAACACGUGAGUAACCUGCCCUUGACUUUGGGAUAACUUCAGGAAACUGGGGCUAAUACCGGAUAGGAGCUCCUGCUGCAUGGUGGGGGUUGGAAAGUUUCGGCGGUUGGGGAUGGACUCGCGGCUUACCAGCUUGUCGGUGGGGUAGUGGCUUACCAAGGCUUUGACGGGUAGCCGGCCUGAGAGGGUGACCGGCCACAUUGGGACUGAGAUACGGCCCAGACUCCUACGGGAGGCAGCAGUGGGGAAUAUUGCACAAUGGGUGGAAGCCUGAUGCAGCAACGCCGCGUGUGGGAUGACGGCCUUCGGGUUGUAAACCGCUUUCGCCUGUGACGAAGCGUGAGUGACGGUAAUGGGUAAAGAAGCACCGGCUAACUACGUG